GACGAACGCUGGCGGCGUGCUUAACACAUGCAAGUCGAACGGAAAGACCCUGCUUUUGUGGGGUUCUCGAGUGGCGAACGCGUGAGUAAAACGCGUGUAACCUCCCCUUGACUUUGUGAUAACUUCAGGAAACUGCGGCUAAUAUCGGAUAGGAUAUCCUGCUGCAUGGUGGGGGAUGGAAAGUUUCGGCGGUUUUGGAUAGAUUCGAUGCUUAUCCGCUUGUUGGUGUGGUAGUGGCUUACCAAGCUUGUGACGGAUAGGCGGCAUGAGAGGGUGAACGGGCUCAAGGGGACUACGAGACGGAGCAGAAUGCAACGGGAGGCAGCAGUGGAGAGUAUUGCACAAUGGGGGGAAGCCUGAUACAGAAACGCUGGGUGCGGAAUGCCGGCUUUCGAGGGGAAAACAACUUUCGCCUGUGAUGAAGAGGGAGUGACGGUAAUGGGUAAAAAAGCACCGGCUAACUACGUG
RNAcentral lists this ribosomal RNA (468 nucleotides) under uncultured bacterium. Its description in RNAcentral is "partial 16S ribosomal RNA". It matches the Rfam family "Bacterial small subunit ribosomal RNA", at positions 28 to 507 of the family's 1533-position model. The record is from RNAcentral.